AAAAAAAAGUACGUUGAUAACUGCUCGUAUAGGAUGAAGUGUAGGGUUAAACACACAAAGAUCAAGCGAUUAUCAAGACUAAUUUAUUCAUUCAUUUCACAAGAACAAAAGGGUUCUCAUCUAUAAGUGAGACCCGUUCAUCAUAUCACUAGCAUUCAUCCCAACAUCUUAUAAAAGUCAAGUUCUUCAUAUGAACUAAUAUGCUACACUAUUUCAUAUGCCUAUUUAUAUGAACGAAAUUACCAAUUUCAUCAUAACAUACAAAACCCAUUUCAAGUCAUGCAUGAGCUUUCACUCAAACUUAUAAUUUGUUCAAGUAUCUAACUUCAACUAUCAAUUAUGACGAUUUUUAGAACAAAUACCUCGUCAUCUUUACUACAUAAUCAAAAACCCACUUGUCUAAAAGUGGUAAUUCAUCAAAUUACUCGAAUCAUAGCAUGUUAUGUAUGAUUUUCACUUAGGGUUUCGUUCCUAAGCAAGUAUACAUCACUAGUCUAGCCAUAGCUUCUUUUUACCAAUCACUAC
This 525-nucleotide long non-coding RNA is filed under the name Helianthus annuus (common sunflower). RNAcentral's name for it is "hypothetical non coding rna". The record is from RNAcentral. Lineage: Eukaryota; Viridiplantae; Streptophyta; Magnoliopsida; Asterales; Asteraceae.